RNAcentral lists this ribosomal RNA (253 nucleotides) under uncultured bacterium. RNAcentral's name for it is "partial 16S ribosomal RNA". It matches the Rfam family "Bacterial small subunit ribosomal RNA", at positions 524 to 776 of the family's 1533-position model. The record is from RNAcentral.
UACAGAGGUCUCAAGCGUUGUUCGGAUUCAUUGGGCGUAAAGGGUGCGUAGGCGGCGCGGUAAGUCGGGUGUGAAAUCUCGGAGCUUAACUCCGAAACUGCAUUCGAUACUGCCGUGCUUGAGGACUGGAGAGGAGACUGGAAUUUACGGUGUAGCAGUGAAAUGCGUAGAGAUCGUAAGGAAGACCAGUGGCGAAGGCGAGUUUCUGGACGGUAACUGACGCUGAGGCACGAAGGCCAGGGGAGCAAACGGG